AACAGGAUUAGAUACCCUGGUAGUCCACGCCGUAAACGAUGAGUACUAGGUGUAGGAGGUAUCGACUCCUUCUGUGCCGUCGUUAACACAAUAAGUACUCCGCCUGGGAAGUACGGUCGCAAGAUUAAAACUCAAAGGAAUUGACGGGGGCCCGCACAAGCAGCGGAGCAUGUGGUUUAAUUCGAAGCAACGCGAAGAACCUUACCUAGACUUGACAUCUCCUGAAUUACCUGUAAUAAGGGAAGCCCUUCGGGGCAGGAAGACAGGUGGUGCAUGGUUGUCGUCAGCUCGUGUCGUGAGAUGUUGGGUUAAGUCCCGCAACGAGCGCAACCCUUAUUAUUAGUUGCUACCAUUAAGUUGAGCACUCUAGUGAGACUGCCCGGGUUAACCGGGAGGAAGGCGGGGAUGACGUCAAAUCAUCAUGCCCCUUAUGUCUAGGGCUACACACGUGCUACAAUGGUGAGAACAACGAGAUGCAAUACCGCGAGGUGGAGCCAAACUUCAAAUCUCAUCUCAGUUCGGAUUGUAGGCUGAAACUCGCCUACAUGAAGUUGGAGUUGCUAGUAAUCGCGAAUCAGAAUGUCGCGGUGAAUACGUUCCCGGGCCUUGUACACACCGCCCGUCACACCAUGAGAGCUGGUAAUACCCGAAGUCCGUGAGGUAACCUUUAUUGGAGCCAGCGGCCGAAGGUAGGAUCGGUGAUUAGGGUGAAGUCGUAACAAGGUAACC
This 729-nucleotide ribosomal RNA is filed under the name uncultured bacterium. RNAcentral describes it as "bacterial SSU rRNA". It matches the Rfam family "Bacterial small subunit ribosomal RNA", at positions 771 to 1501 of the family's 1533-position model. The record is from RNAcentral.